Molecule: ribosomal RNA, 499 nt
Filed under: Afrotyphlops blanfordii (Blanford's blind-snake)
Lineage: Eukaryota; Metazoa; Chordata; Lepidosauria; Squamata; Typhlopidae
Description: partial large subunit ribosomal RNA
Rfam family: Bacterial large subunit ribosomal RNA
Source: RNAcentral
AACAAGUAUUAAAGGUAAUGCCUGCCCAGUGAAUUAUUUCAACGGCCGCGGUAUUCUAACCGUGCAAAGGUAGCGUAAUCAUUUGUCUACUAAUUAUAGACUUGUAUGAAAGGCCACAUGAGAGCCAAACUGUCUCUUGUAAUCUAUCAAUGAAACUGAUCUUCUAGUUAAAAAGCUAGAAUAAAAACAUAAGACGAGAAGACCCUGUGAAGCUUUAAAACUACCAUUAAACCACUUAAUGGGACCUUUUAGUUGGGGCAACUUUGGAAAAAAACUAAACUUCCAAAAGGUAAAUACCUAAAAAGACCAACAAGUCAAUCAUGACCCAGUACUACUGAAAAAUGAACCAAGUUACUCCAGGGAUAACAGCGCAAUCUUCUUCAAGAGCCCAUAUCAAAAAGAAGGUUUACGACCUCGAUGUUGGAUCAGGACACCCAAGUGGCGCAGUCGCUAUUAAAGGUUCGUUUGUUCAACGAUUAACAGUCCUACGUGAUCUGAG